CCCCCCCCGCAACCCCUCGCCACCUCCUGACCCCCCUGCUACCCAGAGCGGGCGCGCUAGGGAGAAGGGAGAUGGUGCAGAAAUCCCACAGCCCCGACUUUAUGUCGCGAGAGAAGGAACCAUCACGGCCCAGCGUUGACCUUUGCUAUGACAAGCUAACCUGACCCCAGAGAGCCUGCGCCAUCCUCUCCUCCCCUUUCCCUCCCCAUCCCUUGCCACCCAGGCCCUCUUGCUGACUACAUCCUACUCGAGGAAAAACAAGUCCCCAGGCGGUGCUGUCUGUGUGCUGAGUUCUAUGGCCUGAACAUCAUUUCCAUCAUGGAGUCAGUUGUACUAAGGUCUGAGGACCUAUUACACUGACCUCUAAGGACCAUCAAGCAUGCAAGUAGUACAUAUACAUAUAUGUAGGCAAAACACUCAAAAAAUUUUAAUUAAAAUAAUUUUUGAAGAAAA
Mesocricetus auratus (golden hamster) is the source of this 453-nucleotide long non-coding RNA. RefSeq lists it as uncharacterized. NCBI's taxonomy places the organism in Eukaryota, Metazoa, Chordata, Mammalia, Rodentia, Cricetidae. The record is from RefSeq and is a predicted model, not a curated record. The transcript has 2 exons.